UAGGGAAUCUUCGGCAAUGGGGGGAACCCUGACCGAGCAACGCCGCGUGAGUGAAGAAGGUUUUCGGAUCGUAAAGCUCUGUUGUUAAGGAAGAACGAGUGUGAGAAUGGAAAGUUCAUGCUGUGACGGUACUUAACCAGAAAGGGACGGCUAACUACGUGCCAGCAGCCGCGGUAAUACGUAGGUCCCGAGCGUUGUCCGGAUUUAUUGGGCGUAAAGCGAGCGCAGGCGGUUAGAAAAGUCUGAAGUGAAAGGCAGUGGCUCAACCAUUGUAGGCUUUGGAAACUGUUUAACUUGAGUGCAGAAGGGGAGAGUGGAAUUCCAUGUGUAGCGGUGAAAUGCGUAGAUAUAUGGAGGAACACCGGUGGCGAAAGCGACUUACUGGGCUCAUUCUGACGCUGAGGAACGAAAGCGUGGGUAGCAAACAGG
Molecule: ribosomal RNA, 429 nt
Filed under: Verrucomicrobiota bacterium
Lineage: Bacteria; Pseudomonadati; Verrucomicrobiota
Description: Verrucomicrobia bacterium partial 16S ribosomal RNA
Rfam family: Bacterial small subunit ribosomal RNA
Source: RNAcentral